This 346-nucleotide long non-coding RNA is filed under the name Salvia miltiorrhiza (redroot sage). RNAcentral describes it as "long non-coding RNA (SMIL_LNC002548)". Lineage: Eukaryota; Viridiplantae; Streptophyta; Magnoliopsida; Lamiales; Lamiaceae. The record is from RNAcentral.
ACGAUUUUAGGAAGAAGAAAUACUCAAACUUCGAGGUUGGAAGAAAAUUUCAGACUUUAGGAAGAAGAAUACACAAAAUUCACGGUUAGGAGUUAGGAGAAUUCGGGUUGUAUUGAAAAAUUAAUGGUAGGGACAAAAUUAUCUUCUUACACAAAAAUAAGUUUUUUUUUUUUUUACUUUUUAUCUUAGUGAAUAUUCUUUUAUAUUUGUUAUAUAAAAAUGGAUAGUUUCAUGUAUUGACUCUCAAAAAAUAUAUAUGUAUUUUUUAGAACUUCAUAAAAUUAAUAUGAUGAAUUUAAAUAAUUGUACAAUCCACUUUGUUAUAUUUUUUUAACACAUAUAUUAC